GUGAAGGAGGGAGACAAGUCCUCAUGUUUCUCUCCCCCAGUAACAAACCACAUAUAAACCAGGACGCCCCAGUACUGGUAAAGCUAUCUACUGCCUGAUUCCAAACUUCAAAUCCAGUUUUUAUACAUCAAGCGGGUCGUGUCGACGAAACAAUCAAGUGGGAGUGCCUGACUGUGGUGUGUCCGUGAGGAACAUUAGUCCAUAUCACCAAAUACACCAGGGUCCUCUGACAUGACCUGAAGCCUGUUCAUAUCUGAUGCUCUUCCAGAAGAGAAAGUACCACCGCACUGUGGCUGGAGACUUUUUAAGGAAGAAACCCCUACACACCCCCCCACUGUUUGGAAAAGGGUCUCCAGGAUAAUGUUUUGGGGAUGACCUACUGGAAGAGCAGCACCUUGCUGGAACACCCGUGUGACCCCAGAGAACCAUCUUCCGUCACUACCUUUUGUCUCUCUGCAGAGAGCCCCAGGACUUCGAGCAG
Molecule: long non-coding RNA, 481 nt
Organism: Coregonus clupeaformis (lake whitefish)
Lineage: Eukaryota; Metazoa; Chordata; Actinopteri; Salmoniformes; Salmonidae
Exons: 3
Source: RefSeq, a predicted model, not a curated record